Long non-coding RNA from Condylura cristata (star-nosed mole), 517 nucleotides. RefSeq lists it as uncharacterized. Lineage: Eukaryota; Metazoa; Chordata; Mammalia; Eulipotyphla; Talpidae. The transcript has 3 exons. The record is from RefSeq and is a predicted model, not a curated record.
CCCCCCCCAACACGGACAGAGAGACCAGGUGAUCCAAUGAGAUAAACAGCAUCAGGAACAACACUGCUGAAGGUCUUAGGUCCAAGAUGAAUCAGUGGACAGUUGGGGCUGUUUCAGAUGCUGCAGAGGGUUUGGGAGAAAGACACCUCAAAAUACAGAGGCACCUCACAUUGAAAGGAAUCUCACAUGCUCUUGUUUAGCACGGGACUUAGGUACUCAGCAAUAAGACGAGGAGACCCACAAGCAAGAGGACGGGGCGGUGCAAGGGUGAGUGGAGAUAGCCAGUGAGACACGGCGCUGGAGAUGAUGAAGUGGGGGACCGCGAGAGCUACUCCAAAUGGUCUGUUUCUGCUUCCCGGGGUUCUCCGAGGAAAUGCACCUUUAAUAAGGCCACUUGCUUGUGCUUAGAAGAACCCACAUAAUAAGGUGCAGCACCUGCGCGCCCCCCCUGCUGUGAGCGCCCCCUGGGGGCUCCCCUCUUCACCUCUCUGCUGGGCAUGGCGCCCCGUCGUCGUCG